AAAAAAUAACUGAGUUGUUUGGUGGUGGAGCUACAACAGAGGGCAGCUAUCCACCGAUGUGUGAGAGAAAGGACAUGCCGCGAACGAGACAUACAAGGCGGUGAGGCUACCGCCGAUCGUCCGGUGUUUGCUAAGGCGGAGGUCAAUCGUGGAUCAGGGAAAGCGAAGGCAGGAGCGUGAGGUGAACUGAAUUUCAGGUAAGAAGUUAUGACCUGCACUCUAUUUGGGUCAGAUAUAAACCGAGUUUAGGUGUAGUUUAUUUAGCAGCAGUUCUCUUAUGUGUUGCUGAUAGCCGGCUAGCUAGCUAGCGCCGCUAGCAUAGUUAGCUCGCGCCGCUAGCGACCCUUCGUGAAAAAGCACCCAGGCUUGGCUUAUAUUGAGGCGGGUGAAACUCGUGUCAGCACCCGGUCGCUCGCCGACAGUAUGUGUUUUAGCUGGACUUAUUUUUCGUUUAUAUGGGCAGAUGAUGCUGGAAACCGAAGGCAGGAGCAUGAGGUGAACUGAAUUUCAGGUAAGAAGUUAUGAAC
This is a long non-coding RNA of Oreochromis aureus, 527 nucleotides long. NCBI's taxonomy places the organism in Eukaryota, Metazoa, Chordata, Actinopteri, Cichliformes, Cichlidae. The record is from Ensembl.